This 447-nucleotide ribosomal RNA is filed under the name uncultured Halococcus sp. RNAcentral's name for it is "bacterial SSU rRNA". It matches the Rfam family "Archaeal small subunit ribosomal RNA", at positions 433 to 879 of the family's 1478-position model. Lineage: Archaea; Methanobacteriati; Methanobacteriota; Halobacteria; Halobacteriales; Halococcaceae. The record is from RNAcentral.
GAAUAAGGGGUGGGCAAGACCGGUGCCAGCCGCCGCGGUAAUACCGGCAGCACGAGUGAUAGUCACUAUUAUUGGGCCUAAAGCGUCCGUAGCCGGCUACACAGGUCCGUCGGGAAAUCCACCCGCUCAACGGGUGGGCGUCCGGCGGAAACCAGGUAGCUUGGGGCCGGAAGACCAGAGGGGUACGUCCGGGGUAGGAGUGAAAUCCUGUAAUCCUGGACGGACCACCGGUUGCGAAAGCGCCUCUGGAGAACGGACCCGACGGUGAGGGACGAAAGCUAGGGUCUCGAACCGGAUUAGAUACCCGGGUAGUCCUAGCUGUAAACGAUGCUCGCUAGGUGCGACGCAGGCUACGAGCCUGCGUUGUGCCGUAGGGAAGCCGAGAAGCGAGCCGCCUGGGAAGUACGUCCGCAAGGAUGAAACUUAAAGGAAUUGGCGGGGGAGCAC